This 452-nucleotide long non-coding RNA is filed under the name Ananas comosus (pineapple). Its description in RNAcentral is "long non-coding RNA (ACOM_LNC001278)". Lineage: Eukaryota; Viridiplantae; Streptophyta; Magnoliopsida; Poales; Bromeliaceae. The record is from RNAcentral.
UAAUGAAUGGCUAACAAAAGUUUGGAUUUUUUUUUGCGGGGUUUUAAUUACAUACAGGUCUCUAUAAAUAUAGUAAAUUAUAAAUAUAUUUCUAUAAAGUUCAACUUUCAUAUAUUGUUUCUAUAAAAAUCUCGAUAUUUUCAAAUAUGUUCCUGCCGUUAGAAUCCGUUAGAAAAAUUUAGUUAACCAUAGGUUAAAUACUUAACCGUAGUUAGUUAAUUAGAUAAAUUGACCUUUUUACUCCUCUUUAUUUAACAGUUGAGACUUUUGGAGGACAUAUUUGUGAUGAUAAAAAACUAUUUCACUUAUAAAAUAGACAGUAUUUUAACCGUAACCAAUCAAAGCGAUAUAUUUGAAAACAGUAGAAUUUUUGUAGGAACAAUAUAUAAAGUUGAUUUUUGUAGGGAUAUAUUUGUAAUUCACUAUAUUUGUAGGGACCUGUAAGAAAUUAA